Molecule: long non-coding RNA, 832 nt
Filed under: Homo sapiens (human)
Lineage: Eukaryota; Metazoa; Chordata; Mammalia; Primates; Hominidae
Description: long non-coding RNA NONHSAT123320.2
Source: RNAcentral
ACACUCUGUUUAACAAGCUGUUAAUUUCUUUGAUUUGGAGGAGGCCAAGGUAGCAAUUACUCAGGCACCAAAAUCUGGAAAUCCCCACACCAGCAGGUUCCUUGCACUCCGCUUCCUCGUUGGCUGGAGAGAAUUUGUUUCCAAGGAUUGUAGACCACAGCAAGGCUUCCUCAGGCUUGCAUACCAGGGUAUGCAGUGUCUACGGCCACUAUUUCAAAGAUUAGAGUUGACGCAGCAAGGUGGUAAGAGAGGCAAGAGGGAGGCACCUGCAAGCUUCAAGAGCAGCUGGAGGAAGAGUAAAUUAGAGUCCCAGCCACCCCCACAUCUAUCUUCUACACCUGCUCCUUCAUUUUCCUUUCUCUGGAGGGCUGAGAGAGAUUUACUGGUCAAAAGGAAGAGCUCCUCACUUCGGGUUCAGGAAUCUUACUGAAGGAAAUGAAAUGGUCACAGAAAGAAGAGUCACUCGGGUAAUUUGGGAUGUUAUGAAGGAGGCUCUGCGUCUCUGAACUGUUGUCAGGCCCCACCAGGCUCUUCACUGUUUGGAGCCAGAUCUACGGAGCCAAACUGCCUUGACCUGCUUUCUGAGGAGGGGACAGGCAGCAAGUGCCGGACCUAGCCAGAUUCAGCCCGCAGAAGGUGUUCCAGACUCCAAGCAGCCUGCUGGCCUAGCUCCAGGCCCAGGUGGCUGCAGACUCCACAAUGGGUGACUCAGAUGAGAUCAUCUAGUUGCAGGAAAACAAGCUGCAGGUUCCCACUGACUCUAUAUUAUGUUCGGUGAUCAAGUUCAUCUUCAAGCAAGUGUAGGAGAAGACUGAUCUUGUCUUCUGUCAAG